UCUCUUGGAGUCGACUCGGCUCUCAGAGCCCGAAAACUGAUCCUCUGUAUUUUUGGCUUGUCUGGUCUUGGAGUCGACUCAAAUUGUUUCAGAGUCGACUCGGCUCUCAGUUUUCGAAACACAGCCUUCUGCCAUCUUGGUGUAGCGCUGCCUUGGAGUCGACUCGAGCUGUCUGGGAGUCGACUCGAAUCUCAGAGUCCGAAAACUGCCCUCUGACUUUUUCUUUGUGUUCCACUGAGAGUCGACUCUCGCUUUCUUUGGAGUCGACC
RNAcentral lists this long non-coding RNA (269 nucleotides) under Phoenix dactylifera (date palm). Its description in RNAcentral is "long non-coding RNA (PDAC_LNC022781)". The record is from RNAcentral. Lineage: Eukaryota; Viridiplantae; Streptophyta; Magnoliopsida; Arecales; Arecaceae.